AGCAGCCGCGGUAAUUCCAGCUCCAAUAGCGUAUAUUAAAGUUGUUGCAGUUAAAAAGCUCGUAGUUGAAUUUCGGGAUUAAUUUACUGGUCGUGCUAUUGUACGUACUGGUUUUAUUGAUUCCUCCCUUCUGACGAACCAUGAUGUCAUUAAUUUGGUGUCUUAGGGAAUCAGGACUGUUACUUUGAAAAAUUAGAGUGUUUAAAGCAGGCUCACGCUUGAAUACAUUAGCAUGGAAUAACGGAAUAGGACGUUUGAUUCUAUUUUGUUGGUUUCUAGGAUCGACGUAAUGAUUAAUAGGGAUAGUUGGGGGCAUUAGUAUUCAAUUGUCAGAGGUGAAAUUCUUGGAUUUAUUGAAGACUAACUACUGCGAAAGCAUUUGCCAAGGAUGUUUUCAUUAAUCAAGAACGAAAGUUAGGGGAUCGAAGACGAUCAGAUACCGUCGUAGUCUUAACCAUAAACUAUGCCGACUAGGGAUCGGAUGAUGUUAAUUCUUAAUGACUCAUUCGGCGCCUUACGG
RNAcentral lists this small RNA (520 nucleotides) under uncultured Glomus. RNAcentral's name for it is "SSU rRNA". It matches the Rfam family "Eukaryotic small subunit ribosomal RNA", at positions 569 to 1093 of the family's 1831-position model. The record is from RNAcentral. Lineage: Eukaryota; Fungi; Glomeromycota; Glomeromycetes; Glomerales; Glomeraceae.